GGGGUUGUAGCUCAGUGGUAGAGCCCUUGUCUAGCACUGUGUGAGGCACUGAGUUCAAUUCUCAGCAACACAU
RNAcentral lists this transfer RNA (73 nucleotides) under Ictidomys tridecemlineatus (thirteen-lined ground squirrel). RNAcentral describes it as "Spermophilus tridecemlineatus (thirteen-lined ground squirrel) tRNA". It matches the Rfam family "tRNA". Rfam says of the family: Transfer RNA (tRNA) molecules are approximately 80 nucleotides in length. The record is from Rfam by way of RNAcentral. Lineage: Eukaryota; Metazoa; Chordata; Mammalia; Rodentia; Sciuridae.